This 467-nucleotide ribosomal RNA is filed under the name uncultured bacterium. RNAcentral describes it as "bacterial SSU rRNA". It matches the Rfam family "Bacterial small subunit ribosomal RNA", at positions 29 to 535 of the family's 1533-position model. The record is from RNAcentral.
AGCGAACGCUGGCGGCAGGCUUAACACAUGCAAGUCGAGCGGGCGUAGCAAUACGUCAGCGGCAGACGGGUGAGUAACGCGUGGGAACGUACCUUUUGGUUCGGAACAACACAGGGAAACUUGUGCUAAUACCGGAUAAGCCCUUACGGGGAAAGAUUUAUCGCCGAAAGGGAUCGGCCCGCGUCUGAUUAGCUAGUUGGUGAGGUAAUGGCUCACCAAGGCGACGAUCAGUAGCUGGUCUGAGAGGAUGAUCAGCCACAUUGGGACUGAGACACGGCCCAGACUCCUACGGGUGGCAGCAGUGGGGAAUAUUGGACAAUGGGCGAAAGCCUGAUCCAGCAAUGCCGCGUGAGUGAUGAAGGCCCUAGGGUUGUAAAGCUCUUUUACCAGGGAUGAUAAUGACAGUACCUGGAGAAUAAGACUCCGGGCUAACUCCGUGCCAGCAGCCGCGGUAAUCUGAGUCGGAG